UGGGACUGAGACACGGCCCAGACUCCUACGGGAGGCAGCAGUAGGGAAUCUUCCGCAAUGGACGAAAGUCUGACGGAGCAACGCCGCGUGAGUGAUGAAGGCUUUCGGGUCGUAAAACUCUGUUGUUAGGGAAGAACAAGUGCUAGUUGAAUAAGCUGGCACCUKGACGGUACCUAACCAGAAAGCCACGGCUAACUACGUGCCAGCAGCCGCGGUAAUACGUAGGUGGCAAGCGUUAUCCGGAAUUAUUGGGCGUAAAGCGCGCGCAGGUGGUUUCUUAAGUCUGAUGUGAAAGCCCACGGCUCAACCGUGGAGGGUCAUUGGAAACUGGGAGACUUGAGUGCAGAAGAGGAAAGUGGAAUUCCAUGUGUAGCGGUGAAAUGCGUAGAGAUAUGGAGGAAC
Molecule: ribosomal RNA, 402 nt
Filed under: Bacillus sp. C-2-12
Lineage: Bacteria; Bacillati; Bacillota; Bacilli; Caryophanales; Bacillaceae
Description: bacterial SSU rRNA
Rfam family: Bacterial small subunit ribosomal RNA
Source: RNAcentral